Molecule: ribosomal RNA, 443 nt
Filed under: uncultured bacterium
Lineage: Bacteria
Description: partial 16S ribosomal RNA
Rfam family: Bacterial small subunit ribosomal RNA
Source: RNAcentral
CCUACGGGAGGCAGCAGUGGGGAAUAUUGGGCAAUGGGCGCAAGCCUGACCCAGCAACGCCGCGUGAAGGAAGAAGGCUUUCGGGUUGUAAACUUCUUUUCUCAGGGACGAAGCAAGUGACGGUACCUGAGGAAUAAGCCACGGCUAACUACGGGCCAGCCGCAGCGGUAAUACGUAGGGGGCGAGAGUUAUCCGGAUUUACUGGGUGUAAAGGGCGCGUAGGCGGUUAUGUAAGUCUGGAGUGAAAGCCCGGGGCCCAACCCCGGGACUGCUUUGGAAACUGGGUAACUGGAGUACAGGAGGGGCAGGCGGAAUGCCUGGUGUAGCGGUGAAAUGCGUAGAUAUCAGGAGGAACACCGGCGGCGAAGGCGGCCUGCUGGACUGAAACUGACGUUGAGGCUCGAAAGCGUGGGGAGCAAACAGGAUUAGAUACCCGAAUAGUC